This 449-nucleotide ribosomal RNA is filed under the name uncultured Gammaproteobacteria bacterium. RNAcentral describes it as "bacterial SSU rRNA". It matches the Rfam family "Bacterial small subunit ribosomal RNA", at positions 404 to 845 of the family's 1533-position model. Lineage: Bacteria; Pseudomonadati; Pseudomonadota; Gammaproteobacteria. The record is from RNAcentral.
UGUGAAGAAGGCCUUCGGGUUGUAAAGCACUUUCAGCGAGGAGGAAAGGUUAGUACUUAAUACGUGCUAGCUGUGACNNUACUCGCAGAAGAAGCACCGGCUAAUUUAGUGCCAGCAGCCGCGGUAAUACUAAAGGUGCAAGCGUUAAUCGGAAUUACUGGGCGUAAAGCGCGCGUAGGUGGUUUGUUAAGUUGGAUGUGAAAGCCCAGGGCUCAACCUUGGAACUGCAUUCAAAACUGACUCACUAGAGUACGAGAGAGGUUAGUGGAAUUUCCUGUGUAGCGGUGAAAUGCGUAGAGAUGGGAAGGAACACCAGUGGCGAAGGCGACUGACUGGCUCGAUACUGACACUGAGGUGCGAAAGCGUGGGGAGCAAACGGGAUUAGAUACCCCGGUAGUCCACGCCGUAAACGAUGUCUACUAGCCGUUGGAGGACUUGAUCCUUUAGUG